ACUCCUACGGGAGGCAGCAGUGGGGAAUAUUGCACAAUGGGGGAAACCCUGAUGCAGCCAUGCCGCGUGUGUGAAGAAGGCCUUCGGGUUGUAAAGCACUUUCAGUAGGGAGGAAGGUAGUGUAGUUAACACCUGCAUUAUUUGACGUUACCUACAGAAGAAGCACCGGCUAACUCCGUGCCAGCAGCCGCGGUAAUACGGAGGGUGCGAGCGUUAAUCGGAAUUACUGGGCGUAAAGCGCAUGCAGGCGGCCUGUUAAGUCAGAUGUGAAAAGCCCGGGGCUUAACCUCGGAAUUGCAUUUGAAACUGGCAGGCUAGAGUCUUGUAGAGGGGGGUAGAAUUUCAGGUGUAGCGGUGAAAUGCGUAGAGAUCUGAAGGAAUACCAGUGGCGAAGGCGGCCCCCU
This 404-nucleotide ribosomal RNA is filed under the name uncultured bacterium. Its description in RNAcentral is "bacterial SSU rRNA". It matches the Rfam family "Bacterial small subunit ribosomal RNA", at positions 335 to 730 of the family's 1533-position model. The record is from RNAcentral.